RNAcentral lists this ribosomal RNA (258 nucleotides) under uncultured bacterium. Its description in RNAcentral is "partial 16S ribosomal RNA". It matches the Rfam family "Bacterial small subunit ribosomal RNA", at positions 795 to 1052 of the family's 1533-position model. The record is from RNAcentral.
CCACGCCGUAAACGAUGGGCACUAGGUGUGGGGGGUGUCGACUCCCUCCGUGCCGAAGCUAACGCAUUAAGUGCCCCGCCUGGGGAGUACGGCCGCAAGGCUAAAACUCAAAGGAAUUGACGGGGGCCCGCACAAGCAGCGGAGCAUGUGGUUUAAUUCGACGCAACGCGAAGAACCUUACCUGGGCUUGACAUGUGGGUGACCGCCCUGGAAACAGGGCUUCCCUUCGGGGCACCUUCACAGGUGGUGCAUGGCUGU